This 523-nucleotide ribosomal RNA is filed under the name uncultured bacterium. RNAcentral's name for it is "partial 16S ribosomal RNA". The record is from RNAcentral.
CGCGAAUUCGCCCUUCGGUUACCUUGUUACGACUUCACCCCAGUUACCGGGCCUGCCUUCGACAGCUCCUCCCUUGCGGUUAGGCCACUGGCUUCGGGCAUUCCUGGCUCCCAUGGUGUGACGGGCGGUGUGUACAAGACCCGGGAACGUAUUCACCGCAACAUUCUGAUUUGCGAUUACUAGCGAUUCCAGCUUCAUACAGCCGGGUUGCAGGCUGUAAUCCGAACUGGGACGUCUUUUUUGUGGUCUGCUCCCCCUCGCAGGUUUGCUUCACUCUGUUGACGCCAUUGUAGCACGUGUGUAGCCCAGCCCAUAAGGGGCAUGAUGAUUUGACGUCGUCCCCGCCUUCCUCCGGGUUAUCCCCGGCAGUCCCUGCAGAGUGCCCGGCUUUACCGCUGGCUACUGCAGGCAGGGGUUGCGCUCGUUGCGGGACUUAACCCAACAUCUCACGACACGAGCUGACGACAACCAUGCACCACCUGUCUCUGCUGUCCCGAGGGAAAGCACGCAUUACCGGGCUGCC